UCUGGUGGCGAUGCGCUUAGGGGGAACACCCGUACACAUCCCGAACACGAUGGUUAAGACUUAAGCGGCCGAGAAUACUGCAUUGGAGACGAUGUGGGAACGUAGGUGGCUGCCAGAU
RNAcentral lists this ribosomal RNA (118 nucleotides) under Anaerosacchariphilus polymeriproducens. The record is from RNAcentral. Lineage: Bacteria; Bacillati; Bacillota; Clostridia; Lachnospirales; Lachnospiraceae.